This is a long non-coding RNA of Oreochromis aureus, 1661 nucleotides long. NCBI's taxonomy places the organism in Eukaryota, Metazoa, Chordata, Actinopteri, Cichliformes, Cichlidae. The record is from Ensembl.
UGGCUAUAUAAAAAGGUCAGUUAUUUAAAUAGUUCAUUGGUGUUCAUGGUUAACUGCAAAUGUUUAAUGUGUUCAAGAAUGUAUAUAAUUGCCUGUAAGGUAUGUGAUGUGUGUCAGUUAAAUGCACAACCUUUUUAUUUGUAUUUUGAGGUUUAUGUCAUUAUUUUUGAUUGGGUAUUGAUAUGUACUACAGCUCCAGCGUACCCUGAAGUAGUCUCAGGUAGAGGGGGUGGGAGCAAGGGGGAGCCGUGUGCACUCUGCAGGAAGCGAGGGAGACGAGAGCUGAACAGUGUCGAGUGAACGCAGAGUUUAUAGAAGGGCGACAGACAUAUUUUCGGAUUGACGGAUAGUUGACUGGAGUGAAAAGCUGUUGUACCCUACUGUGAGUAGGAGGAGACGGACGUCUUGCUGGCGUGUCAGAGAGGUCCCUUCUGCUGGUGUGCUGAAGUUAUAUGUUCACGUGGGAGCACGUGGAGAGGACGAUUGAGUGCUGCUGCCGCGGCCUGCUGGUAGCAUUGACCCAGUUUCCCCUGCUAUCCCCUUGAACUGCCUGGAGGUGUGAGUACUGUUUGCACGUGCUUUUUAUUUUACUGCUUGGCAACAAGUGAAGCGACCAUAUUGUUUUAGGUCCCAACGCACCCGAGCCACGACUCAGGCCUGCAACGAGAGGUUUGCUAGCAGAAAGCCUGUAGCACUUGAGGUCUGUGUGUGUCGGUGAGAGUGUGUGUGGGCCCACAAUAUUAUUUGAUUAUUUUGUUUCUGUUGAAGUAGAUACCUUACGUUCUUUAACAAACUUUAUUGAUUUUACUUAUUUUCUUUUGUCGUUAAAUAAUCAUUUACUAAAGUGGAGUUAACGUUAUAAUUGACCUGUUUUUGUGUGAUUUAUUUCUAUGUAGUGUAGUUUUAUUGCAUGUUUUAUACUAUAAGCAUUAAAAAGGGAGUAUCAAUAGGAACGUAACAACAGGAACCCAGGGCCCCUCUCAACAGAAGUGGGACGGGUGUUACAUAAAUAAAAUAAAUAAUAAUAACAACAAAAGUCAAUCAAAUGGACCAAUACAGCAAAGCUGUGAUGAUCCACUUGGUAAAGCAAAUCCGUUGGGUAUUGUGACAAUAUAGUAGUGUAGUAUUGUAAGAGCAAGCAUGAUUUAUUAGAUUAUUGUAGGCUAGGGAUUUGGCUGUAUAAUCAUCAAUAAAGUAUUAUACUCAUUAUUCAUUUAAGUAAACAUCAAAUAAAGUAUUAUACUCAUUAUUCAUUUAAGUAGGUCAUAGGUCAAGCAAAUAAAUAUACCCAUGUAGCCCACACAGAGAAUUGGGAGAGUGAGAAGCAGAGGAGACAGAAAGCUGCCUUGGGGUUGAUAAGGAGGUGGUAAGGCAAGAGAAGGAGAACAUAGUGUGCCGAGGAGUAGACACCAAGGCUGGGGGAUAGAGAGGGAUGAGAUGGAGAGGGAUCAGCAGACACCAAGUUCUGAGAAACAAAGGUUGUUUACAUGUGUGCAUAAAUGUGAGCCGCUCGGACUGCCCCAGUGGAUUUUGCCAUUUUGAUGCUGAGUAGUGCACAUCCCCAUGUAAAUGUAAUAAACUGGAUUGAAGCUUUGAGAAGUCUCAUGUCACUCAUUUAACUGGGAACGCAAUCCGCAAACACAGGGAGGAGAAAAGAAGAU